This 497-nucleotide ribosomal RNA is filed under the name uncultured bacterium. RNAcentral describes it as "partial 16S ribosomal RNA". It matches the Rfam family "Bacterial small subunit ribosomal RNA", at positions 28 to 507 of the family's 1533-position model. The record is from RNAcentral.
GAUGAACGCUGACGGCGUGCCUAAUACAUGCAAGUCGAGCGAACGGACGAGAAGCUUGCUUCUCUGAUGUUAGCGGCGGACGGGUGAGUAACACGUGGAUAACCUACCUAUAAGACUGGGAUAACUUCGGGAAACCGGAGCUAAUACCGGAUAAUAUUUUGAACCGCAUGGUUCAAAAGUGAAAGACGGUCUUGCUGUCACUUAUAGAUGGAUCCGCGCUGCAUUAGCUAGUUGGUAAGGUAACGGCUUACCAAGGCAACGAUGCAUAGCCGACCUGAGAGGGUGAUCGGCCACACUGGAACUGAGACACGGUCCAGACUCCUACGGGAGGCAGCAGUAGGGAAGCUUCCGCAAUGGGCGGAGGCCUGACGGAGCAACGCCGCGUGAGUGAUGAAGGUCUUCGGAUCGUAAAACUCUGUUAUUAGGGAAGAACAUAUGUGUAAGUAACUGUGCACAUCUUGACGGUACCUAAUCAGAAAGCCACGGCUAACUACGUG